AACGCACAUUGCGCCCACCAGUAUUCUGGUGGGCAUGCCUGUUCGAGCGUCAUUUCAACCCUCAAGCCUGGCUUGGUGUUGGGGCUCUGCGUCUGCAGGCCCUCAAAUCCAGUGGCGGACACGCUAGGUCUCCGAGCGCAGUAGUUUCUCCUCGCUCAGGGCGUCCGGCGUGCGCUUGCCUCGCACCCAUCUUAUCAAGGUUGACCUCGGAUCAGGUAGGAAUACCCGCUGAACUUAA
RNAcentral lists this unclassified non-coding RNA (238 nucleotides) under uncultured Myrmecridium. RNAcentral's name for it is "sequence contains ITS2". The stretch from base 1 to 52 matches the Rfam family "5.8S ribosomal RNA", at positions 103 to 154 of the family's 154-position model. Lineage: Eukaryota; Fungi; Ascomycota; Sordariomycetes. The record is from RNAcentral.